UAUAGCGUCGCAAACAUGGAGCAAAAUAAAGAGAAAAUGCGGCAUAUUUUACAGUACUACUACGAUAAAGGCAAAAAUGCAUCUCAAGCCGCCAAUAAAAUUUGUGCAGUUUAUGGACCCGAUACAAUUUCCAUUUCCACCGCACAACGAUGGUUUCAACGUUUUCGCCUGUCGUCGAAAAUUGCGAUAAAAUCGCUGAAUUGGUCGAAAGAGACCGGCAUAGUAGCAGCCGUAGCAUCGGUCAAGAGCUGGGCAUGAGUCAUCAAAAAUUCAUUUCAAUUUCAAUAAAAAAAAAAUU
Bactrocera neohumeralis is the source of this 298-nucleotide long non-coding RNA. RefSeq lists it as uncharacterized. The transcript has 2 exons. NCBI's taxonomy places the organism in Eukaryota, Metazoa, Arthropoda, Insecta, Diptera, Tephritidae. The record is from RefSeq and is a predicted model, not a curated record.